RNAcentral lists this microRNA precursor (207 nucleotides) under Oryza glumipatula. RNAcentral's name for it is "MIR812 microRNA precursor family". It matches the Rfam family "MIR812 microRNA precursor family". The record is from Rfam by way of RNAcentral. Lineage: Eukaryota; Viridiplantae; Streptophyta; Magnoliopsida; Poales; Poaceae.
AAUGUUUGAUGCCGUUGACUUUUUAGCACAUGUUUGACCGUUCGUCUUAUUCAAAAAAAUUUUAAGUAAUUAUUAAUUCUUUUCCUAUCAUUUGAUUCAUUGUUAAAUAUAUUUUUAUGUAGACAUAUAAUUUUACAUAUUUCAAAAAAAAAUUUGAAUAAGACGAAUGGUCAAACAUGUGCUAAAAAGUCAACGGUGUCAAACAUU